Molecule: long non-coding RNA, 428 nt
Organism: Pan paniscus (pygmy chimpanzee)
Lineage: Eukaryota; Metazoa; Chordata; Mammalia; Primates; Hominidae
Source: Ensembl
AAUAAGACUUUCUUUCCCCUCCAGGAAGCAGCCGCUAAAUUUCUGCUCAGUACUUUAGUUCAAUUAACUAAUGUUUUCCCCUGGACUACUUGGAAUGUGUCCCAUUCAUGCAUAGAUUAGAGGUCGGCCAAAGAUUUGAGGGGUGUUGCAUGCAGAUUUGAAGGCUCUCUUUUAUGCAGCGUCCUCACUUCAGAGACAUCACCUUUCAAUCUUCAGCUGCUUUUCAACCCCAUGCUCCAACCGCUGACUCCUCAGUGUUGCAGUGUUUCCAGACCUUUCAUUUUUCUUCCAUCUUAUCUCAAGGCUGAAAGAAGUUUAUCAUAUUAUUAGACAACAGAGCAGAACAAAACAAUACAUCAAGCCUCAGCACUUGGUAUUGCUUUGCAGAGAAAACCAGGUGAAUUCCUUUACUGUGUGAUUAGUGAAAC